UGCGUCGUAAGGCCCCGCCUUGUGUUGAGAUUCCCGGACACGGGACUCUCCAAGCAAAUGGGCGUCCGUCGAGCCUGAACCGCAACAAUGUGCGUGCAGGGACUCCGGCGAGCGCCGAAACCCGUCCA
RNAcentral lists this unclassified non-coding RNA (128 nucleotides) under uncultured Ascomycota. RNAcentral's name for it is "sequence contains ITS2". Lineage: Eukaryota; Fungi; Ascomycota. The record is from RNAcentral.